Molecule: long non-coding RNA, 992 nt
Organism: Asparagus officinalis (garden asparagus)
Lineage: Eukaryota; Viridiplantae; Streptophyta; Magnoliopsida; Asparagales; Asparagaceae
Exons: 2
Source: RefSeq, a predicted model, not a curated record
GUACAGGGAGGUUGAGCUACAGGAGGAAGAGGGGCGGGCACCCUCCUCAGGGUAUCAGUGGUGAUGUCGGGGGAGAGAAACCUGACCAGGAUCUUGGCGAUAAUUUUGGGGGCAGGAACCUUGUAGAUCAGGUUCUUGGUGAUCUUGUUGGGAACAAGAACCUUGCAGAGAGGUUCUUGGGGGCGAGAGCUAGCGGUUCUGGUGACGUUGCACUGCUGAUGAUAAGAGGGAGAAGAGGUAUGCGUAGGAUGGUGAGCAAUAGUUAGGAGAGAGAUGUUGUGAAGGCUGAGUGAUUGAGAGAGACAAAGGCAGGAGAGGACCGAGAAGAGGGGUGAAAGAGAGAAAGAGAGGGACCACCGGGCCAUUAAGAGGGCCAGGAAGAGGGAAGAAAAGGCGAUUGAGAGGGAGGAGAGGGCGAAUGAGAGGGAGGAGAGAGUCAUUAAAAGGGCCAAGGAGAGGGAUGCAAGAGACAGAGUCAGGAGAGGGUUGAGGUGAGGGGUGAAAGAGGGAAAGAAAAGCAGGAGAGAGCCGAGGAGAGGGGUGAAAGAUAGAAAGAGAGGGACGACAUGACCAUCGAGAGGGUAGGGAGAGGGAGGAAAAGGUGAAAGAGAGGGACGAGAGGGCCAAGGAGAGGGUGAAGAGGGUCAUUGAAAGGGCCAAGGAGAGGGAUGAAAGAGACAGAGAGGGACGAGGAGGGGUGAAAGAGAGAGAGAGGGACGACAGAGUCAUUGAGGGGCAGGGAGAGGGAGGAAAAGGCGAAGGAGAGGGCCAGGGAGAGAGGAGAGGGCUGUUGAAAGGGCUAAAGGAGGGGAUGAAAGAGACAAAGAGAGCCAGGAGAGGGGUGAAAGAGAGAAAGAGAGGGACGACAGGGUCAUUGAGAGGGGCAGGGAGAGGGAGGAGAGGGCCGUUGAAAGGGCCAAAGGAAGGGAUGAAAGAGACAAAUAGAGGCAGGAGAGGGCCGAGGAGAGGAGUGAAAGAGAGAGAGAGAGGGG